This 414-nucleotide ribosomal RNA is filed under the name uncultured microorganism. RNAcentral describes it as "bacterial SSU rRNA". It matches the Rfam family "Archaeal small subunit ribosomal RNA", at positions 330 to 745 of the family's 1478-position model. The record is from RNAcentral.
GCGCACCAGGCGCGAAAACUUCACACUGUGCGAAAGCACGAUGAGGGAAUCCCAAGUGCUUGCACGUAAGUGUAAGCUGUUUCUCUGUUUAAAACGCAGAGAGAGUAAGGGCUGGGUAAGACGGGUGCCAGCCGCCGCGGUAAUACCUGCAGCUCAAGUGGUGACCGUUAUUAUUGGGCCUAAAACGUCCGUAGCCGGUUUAAUAAAUGCCUGGGUAAAUCGUGUAGCUUAACUAUACGAAUUCCGGGUAGACUGUUAAACUCGAGACCGGGAGAAGUUAGAGGUACUCCUGGGGUAGAGGUGAAAUUCUGUAAUCCUAGGGGGACCACCAGUGGCGAAGGCGUCUAACUAGAACGGGUCUGACGGUGAGGGACGAAGCCCUGGGGCGCAAACGGGAUUAGAUACCCGCGUAGU